This 671-nucleotide long non-coding RNA is filed under the name Lathyrus oleraceus (garden pea). RNAcentral describes it as "Pisum sativum (pea) long non-coding RNA (PSAT_LNC041833)". Lineage: Eukaryota; Viridiplantae; Streptophyta; Magnoliopsida; Fabales; Fabaceae. The record is from RNAcentral.
UAUGUUAAGGUAAGUUGUUGUUUUUGUUGAUAAAUGUUGUGUUUUGUGUUACUGUAGAUGUUUUUUUAUUAGACUUAUUUAUGUUUUUUUGGAGGUAUGUUGUUGUUUUGUUAAGGUAAUUUGUUGUUUAUGUUAAGGUAAGUUGGUGUUUUUGUUGAUAAAUGUUGUUGUUUGUGUUAUUGUAGAUGUUUUUUAUUAGGUAUUUUUAUUUUUGUGUGGAGGUAUGUUUUCUUUUUUAUUAAGGUAAAUUGUUGUUUAUGUUAAGGUAAGUUGUUGUUUUUAUUGAUAAAUGUUGUUGUUUGUGUUAUCGUAGAUGUUUUUAAUUAGGUAUGUUGAUGUUUUUGUUGAGGUAAUUUGUUGUUUGUUAAGGUAAUUUGUUGUUUAUGUUAAGGUAAGUUGUUGUUUUUGUUGAUAAAAGUUGUUGUUUGUGUUAUUGUAGGUGUUUUUUAUUAGGUAUGUUGAUAUUUCUGUGGAGUUAUUAGUUUGUUGUUUAUGUUAAGGUAAGUUGUUUUUUAUAAAUGUUGUUGUUUUUGUUAUUUUAGACGUUUUUGUUGAAGUAUGUUCAUGUUUUUCUUGAUAAAUAUUAUUGUUGUGUUAUUUGUUAAUGUUAUUCAUUGUACAUUCUAGCUUUUAUUUUCUUCAACCAACAUGUUAUAUAAGAUGAGUUUAUU